UAGAUCUUAUGGUUCUCUGUGGGAAUUUUUUUGUCCCUUUCAAGAAGAAUGGCCUUGUAGUUGGAAAGUGCAUUUGGGAGGAAUGGUUUCGAUGAAAGGGAGAGAGAGAAAAAACAAUGUGCUUUACUACUCUGUGAUAGUGCAAAACAAACAGAAAAAGCCUUUAUAAAUUGUGGUUAUAGUUGCCUGAGCAAUAGGUAUUUGGAUGCUUGGCUGGCUCUUGUCUGUGAAUACCUGGUUUGUACUUAGGAGGACAGGAGUUUGGCAUGCCAGGGAUGCGCGCACCGGCUCCGAUUCCCAUUCUCCCCAAACAGAAGCCAGCUGCGGGCUGGGGACCUGUGGGGAGAAGCUGCCUGGGCUGUAGGGGGAACAGACUCUGUCCUGUCCUUGCCAAGCGAGCGGUGUUACAGGGCGAUUGUAGUCUGAAAUGUGAGUGCUGUGAGUUCCUCCUGAUGUUUUCAGGGAGCUGCUGUUGGCCAUUCCUUGGCAGCCACUUGUCCCUGUUGUGAACCUGGGGGGAAUCUCCACAUGCCUCCUGGCCAUGCCUGAAAAGCAAACAGCCAUUAAAUGGAAAACAAAUAGAAAAACCAACCAGACAGAAACCAAACCAAAAAAGCCUGAACCCAUCUUUGUCUGCCCCCCAUCUCCCCGUGAGGUCUUCCCUGGCUGCUGCCAGCGUGUGGAGAGCUCUGGUCCCCCAGCAGCUGGGAGAGAAGAGGAGCUGUGGGAUCCUACAGAGGAACACCCCAUCGGGCUUCUGGCACAGUGUUUCGAUUGCCCCUGGGGGCGCCUGUCCCUCCCCAUGGCGUGUGAAGUGAGCCUGCGCUGCUCCAUGUGGUUCAUCACAGGUGGGAUCGCGAUGAGACCUGCCGCUGCUCAGAGAGCUGCACGCUGUGCUCUUGGCUCUUAAUUGUGGUCAUCAAACUGGUUCAGAUCUGGGAAUAAUUUCUUAUCAUAAUGUUACACUCAGUGCCAGACUGUUCCAGGGCUUCUGUCCGUAACCGAGGCCGUGCACAGCAGCGGCCGAUACCUGGAGGGGUCUCCGUGAGCGGUGCUGUGGAUCAGGGGGGAAGAGUGAGCUUUAAAAUGACUUCUGAACGGCAUCAGGAUUGUGGGGUGUCCUUUUUUAAAAGAACUUGAUGAAGAAAUUAAUUACGGGGAAAAGUAGACUACAGUACUCCAAUUUGGCAGAUUUCAGUCUUGUUUAUAUCCCAAGUGUACUGAACUGGAUGGAAGACUGUAUCAACAACCCCACCUCUUGUGUGAAAACAUCAAGAGUGUAUUUAGAAGCAGCAGAGUUAUGCAGCUGUUACUUAACCUGUGCAUAUUGUAGAAGUCUGGAUUUCUCUGUUCAUGCAUGAUAUGGGGAAUAUAUUAUUUCUGUUUCAGUAUUAGAAAAACUUGAAUUAAAAAUUGAUUGCCCACCUUA
This is a long non-coding RNA of Anas platyrhynchos (mallard), 1429 nucleotides long. RefSeq lists it as uncharacterized. The record is from RefSeq and is a predicted model, not a curated record. Lineage: Eukaryota; Metazoa; Chordata; Aves; Anseriformes; Anatidae.